UCGUAACAAGGUUUCCGUAGGUGAACCUGCGGAAGGAUCAUUACCGAACUGUCGACACGAGCUGUUGCUGGCCCCCGAAAGGGGACACGUGCACGCUCUGUUUACACAUCCACUCACACCUGUGCACCCUCUGUAGUUCUAUGGCCUUGGGGACCCUGUCCCCUUGCUGUGGUCCUACGUCUUUACACACACACAUCGUAACAAAGUCUCAUGGAAUGUAUGUCGCGUUUAACGCAAUACAAUACAACUUUCAGCAACGGAUCUCUUGGCUCUCGCAUCGAUGAAGAACGCAGCGAAAUGCGAUAAGUAAUGUGAAUUGCAGAAUUCAGUGAAUCAUCGAAUCUUUGAACGCACCUUGCGCCCUUUGGCUAUUCUGAAGGGCAUGCCUGUUUGAGUAUCAUGAACACCUCAACUCUCAUGGUCCGCCAUGAUGAGCUUGGACUUUGGGGGUCUUGCCGGCCUAGCGUCGGCUCCUCUCAAAUGGAUCAGCUUCCCCGUGUUUGGUGGCGUCACAGGUGUGAUAACUAUCUACGCUUGUGGUUUCCUGCCAUUAACCUUCAGCAAUGGAGGUUCGCUGGAGCUCACAGAUGUCUCUCCUUGGGGAGGACAGCUUUUGAAUGUCUGAUCUCAAAUCAGGUAGGACUACCCGCUGAACUUAAGC
This 661-nucleotide ribosomal RNA is filed under the name uncultured Tomentella. RNAcentral describes it as "eukaryotic LSU rRNA". The stretch from base 246 to 400 matches the Rfam family "5.8S ribosomal RNA". The record is from RNAcentral. Lineage: Eukaryota; Fungi; Basidiomycota; Agaricomycetes; Thelephorales; Thelephoraceae.